GGAACUGAAUUUAUUAACAUAGUUAUAGAAAGAGUCUGUCAAUGAAAGGAGAAUUAGUUGCCUAUGGAAACUGAGCUACAGAUGAAUCUUUAAGGCAUAAAUCUCUUUUCCACCUAAGUGGAAGUCCAAUUCCUGAGGCAGGAAGUCUGGGCAAGUGAAAUUGCCAGUUAAGUUGGUAAGCCUUCCUACAAUAAAAAUAAAUGCAUGUGCACAUUUAUAUUAGCUUGAUGGUGUUAAAUAUUCUAAUCAUUGAACUUUAUUUUUCUGAUCUAAUACAUACCCAGCUAUCAUGUGACUACAUUUUGUUUUCCCAUACAGAUGUGCGUUUGGGUGGAAAGUAUGUACUGUUUAUGCUGAACUACUGUUUAAGACAGAAUUCAUCAAGUAGCAGAAGUGAUGGAAGGGCCAAGGGGAAGAAAGAUGGACAAAACCUGAAAAUUGAAAGUGCAAUAAAAUGAAAAUUACAAAUGAAAACCAGUAUGCCUGAGUUAUACAUGACUGUUUAGUAGAGUGUCUUCAUGUGGGUUAAAGAAGAAAAGGAAAUACCAGCUGGAAUCAGCAGAACAGAUUUAGCACUUGACCCUUGGAUACUUUUCAUUCUAUUUAUCUAUCAUAUUUUUAUUGGUUUGUAUUCCAUUGACUACUAUAUGCACCGACCCUCAGCAAAUUCAUUCAAUAGAGAGGAGAGAUUAUAUCUCCACUGUAUCAGUGGAGCUGCUUAGGAACAUUUCUCCCGCUUCUUGCAUGUAUUUUGUCCUAUUUGUACAUUGUAUUUUAUGAGCUGCUUUAGAAUAGUAGAAUAACUUUCCUUUAUAUGGUAUAGAACUUUUGAUAUAUCUCAAAUAAAUUUUUUAAAAAUGA
Long non-coding RNA from Homo sapiens (human), 861 nucleotides. RefSeq lists it as uncharacterized. The transcript has 2 exons. The record is from RefSeq and is a predicted model, not a curated record. Lineage: Eukaryota; Metazoa; Chordata; Mammalia; Primates; Hominidae.